RNAcentral lists this ribosomal RNA (253 nucleotides) under uncultured archaeon. RNAcentral's name for it is "partial 16S ribosomal RNA". It matches the Rfam family "Archaeal small subunit ribosomal RNA", at positions 474 to 727 of the family's 1478-position model. The record is from RNAcentral.
AACCAGCACCUCAAGUGGUCAGGAUGAUUAUUGGGCCUAAAGCAUCCGUAGCCGGCUCUGUAAGUUUUCGGUUAAAUCUGUACGCUCAACGUACGGGCUGCCGGGAAUACUGCAGAACUAGGGAGUGGGAGAGGUAGACGGUACUCGGUAGGAAGUGGUAAAAUGCUUUGAUCUAUCGAUGGCCACCUGUGGCGAAGGCGGUCUACCAGAACACGUCCGACGGUGAGGGAUGAAAGCUGGGGGAGCAAACCGG